GGAGAUGUGGCUCAAUGUAGCAGAACACUUGCCUAGCAUGCAUGAAGCCUUGGGUUCUAUCCCCAACAUGCCCC
RNAcentral lists this transfer RNA (74 nucleotides) under Dipodomys ordii (Ord's kangaroo rat). It matches the Rfam family "tRNA". From Rfam's summary of the family: Transfer RNA (tRNA) molecules are approximately 80 nucleotides in length. Their secondary structure includes four short double-helical elements and three loops (D, anti-codon, and T loops). Lineage: Eukaryota; Metazoa; Chordata; Mammalia; Rodentia; Heteromyidae. The record is from Rfam by way of RNAcentral.